RNAcentral lists this ribosomal RNA (429 nucleotides) under Actinomycetes bacterium. RNAcentral's name for it is "Actinobacteria bacterium partial 16S ribosomal RNA". It matches the Rfam family "Bacterial small subunit ribosomal RNA", at positions 355 to 776 of the family's 1533-position model. The record is from RNAcentral. Lineage: Bacteria; Bacillati; Actinomycetota; Actinomycetes.
UAGGGAAUCUUCCGCAAUGGGCGAAAGCCUGACGGAGCAACGCCGCGUGAGUGAUGAAGGUCUUCGGAUCGUAAAACUCUGUUAUUUGGGAAGAACAAAUGUGUAAGUAACUAUGCACGUCUUGACUGUACCUAAUCAUAAAGCCACGGCUAACUACGUCCCAGCAGCCGCGGUAAUACGUAGGUUGCAAGCGUUAUCCGGCAUUAUUUGGCGUAAAACGCGCGUAGGCGGUUUUUUAAAUCUGAUGUGAAAGCCCACGGCUCAACCGUGGAGGGUCAUUGGAAAAUGGAAAACUUGAGUGCAGAAGAGGAAAGUGGAAUUCCAUGUGUAGCGGUGAAAUGCGCAGAGAUAUGGAGGAACACCAGUGGCGAAGGCGACUUUCUGGUCUGUAACUGACGCUGAUGUGCGAAAGCGUGGGGAUCAAACAGG